UCGACUUUCCCUCUUCCACUCUCCCUCUAGGGUUCUCAAGCCACCACCUCAGUGCCGCUCUAGGCUUUGCCUCUGCUCUCGGCUGUAAUGCACUAUCCUUUCCUUUAUGUUUUGGUUUGGUUCCACGUCAUUGACCUCAUUGUUGUUGCCGCCAAAGUUGCCCUCUCUCGGAACAAGGGCGCUGAUUGGGCCUCUACUUCUGGCUUCGUUCGGGCUUGCUACAUCCACGCCAUCGCUACCAAGAAAAAGCUUGAACUAGCGAAACUCAAAGUUAUUGACUGUGGAAAACCGGUUGAUGAAGCCGCCUGGGACAUUGUAACCUCUCACAUCCCUAAAUUGCUGACUAAGCCUUAAGCCUCAAUCCUCAAGCCAUGGAUCACGAGCACUCCAACUUUUGAAUACAUACUCAGGAAAUGCAGUUGUGUUUGGAUGCUUGUGCAAAGCUUGUGCAAAUUAUGAGUCCAGUCCACAACUCUUAACCCAAGAGGAUUACCAAAAGGCCUAUCGCUCUUAACAAGAGCUCAAAGAUACUAACAAAUCAACAAAUUCAGAAGGAAACACAGAUUCUGCAGAUAAAACAUAUAGCUAGCAUCAAGAAGUCUUGCUAGCCAUGGCUGAGGAGUUUCAAGGUGCUAUUUGUGGUGAAAGUUGGUGGAAUAUUAUUAAUCCAACAAGAAGUGUGUUUCCUCUUAUGCCAUCAACUUGUUCUGUGGCAGCAGCUGAUGCAGGAAACUACAACACUUGGCAAAGUUUUCUUGAUGCCGGGAAGCCACACCAGAGUGGAACUAGUAGCAUCUUCAUCGAUUUCACCUUACAAAUGAUGGGUUUUGGCAUGUCAUCUUCAACUUCACCGAAUUGGAGUCAAUCUUUAUUAGGGAGCAGUUUUGAUUUUGUGCUUCAAGAAGAAGCGGGCAUAGGUGGUGGUGGUUCUUCCAAUGAUUCACAAAUCCAAAAGGAUUGGAGUCCAAAGAAUUUCUCAUCAGGUGGUGGCAGCCAGCAAGUUUCCACCGUUGAUGCUUUCAAGCCAAUGAACCAAGAAUUUUCCUUGGAUCAGCAGAGUCUAAAUUCUGUUGUUACAAGCCAAUGAACCAAGAACUUCUAGUUUUUGUUUUGCCAUUGCACACCAAAUUUAAAGGCUUAAUUUGCUACAUAAAUUACAUGCAUAAGAGAAUGGCUAAUGCAUUAAAUAAGAUAGUAGUUAUUUUUUUACCAAACAUAGUUAAGAAUAAAAUAUUUUUAGACGUAAUUAUUUAAUCUCAUUUUUACUUAGUUAGUCAAAUCCAAAUAUUGAAUUUCAAGAUAGCUAAUGCACCAAAAUUACACAAUUAAAAAUAGUGGAAUGAUUAAAUUCCUGAAAUAAAACGUAGAGACCAAAUUCAAGAAAUAACAAAAUAGAGAAUCAAAAGUUGAAUUAAGCUAAAUUUUAAUUAUUGAAGAUUGUUGAUUUAUUUAUAAAAUAAUUAAUUUGUUAAUAUUGAGAAUUGAUUGAUUGAUUUGUUAUGUGCAGGAAUUUGUCAUAAUUGGGGAAAUGAAUAGUGCAUAAAAAUCUUGAAGAACGGUAAGGAAGUCAUUCCAAAAGAAGGAUUACUCCCCGUUCGUCAAGUAAGAUUCAUCAGGUUCUGUAAGCAGCAUGCAGAAGGUGUAUGGGUUGAGUUGAUGUUUCCAUUGAGAUAAGUCAUGCUGCUGCUAAUGCACAACCAUUCAUGAUUUGUAGGAGGCUUCCUUCGGGCUGUAUUGUGCAGGAUAUGCCAAAUGGUUACUCAAAGGUUAGGUAGGGAUGAUGACAUGGUGGCUGUAUUAUCUCCAUCACACAAAGUGGGUCCACAACAUAUUAUGAAGUGGUUGUUGGGUUUGGACAUGUUGGUAGCUCGCAAGGGGGACAACCUUCACAUUGUGACUCUUGGUGAUGACAUGAAAGUGAUGACAAGGAAAAAUAUGGAUGACCCUAGUGAGCCUCCUGGAUUGUGCUCAAUGCUGCAACGUCUGUUUUGAUGUCAAUGUCAUGGCAAAGGCUGUUCGACUUUCUACAUGAUGAACGACUGAGAAGCGAGUGGGACAUAUUGUCCAAUGGUGGACCAAUGCAGGAGAUGGUACAUAUUGCCAAAGCUUGCAGCAGGUAUCUAACCUUAAGCUCAGCUUGAGUGGCAAUCACAUGAUUUUGAACAAUUAGCAAGAGAGUACCUCUGGUUCCCUUGGAAAGAACAUCUACACCUCCUCCACUUGUUUAAGCUAGAUGUAUCAGAAGUUUCAUCUGCAAAGAAUAAUGGCAAGCAUAAGAACAGACCAGGAUUUUUGGCUUAUUUGGAUUUUAUUUAUCACUGACAUGAAACAUGUAAAACAUGGAACAGGAAAACUCAAAAAACCUCAAUAUUAGAACAUAAAACUGAAAUUAAAUAUGAAUUAUCUCAUAUUGCAGGAAUAAAGUGGCCAUGCAAUGCCCAAUGUAUCAAAUUCAACUAUUUCCUUCCUUUUUACUAUUUAACCAGGAAGCA
This is a long non-coding RNA of Glycine soja, 2492 nucleotides long. RefSeq lists it as uncharacterized. The transcript is spliced from 10 exons. Lineage: Eukaryota; Viridiplantae; Streptophyta; Magnoliopsida; Fabales; Fabaceae. The record is from RefSeq and is a predicted model, not a curated record.